RNAcentral lists this ribosomal RNA (253 nucleotides) under uncultured bacterium. Its description in RNAcentral is "partial 16S ribosomal RNA". It matches the Rfam family "Bacterial small subunit ribosomal RNA", at positions 524 to 776 of the family's 1533-position model. The record is from RNAcentral.
UACGGAGGGUGCGAGCGUUGUCCGGAAUCACUGGGCGUAAAGGGCGCGUAGGUGGCUUCUCAAGCGCGCGGUGAAAGCCCGGGGCUCAACCCCGGGUCGGCCGUGCGGACUGGGAGGCUCGAGCACUGUAGGGGCGGGUGGAAUUCCGGGUGUAGCGGUGGAAUGCGUAGAUAUCUGGAGGAAUACCGGUGGCGAAGGCGGCAUCCUGGACCGAGAUUGACACUGAUGAGCGAAAGCUAGGGGAGCAAACGGG